CUACGGGUGGCUCCAGUGGGGAAUCUUAGACAAUGGGCGCAAGCCUGAUCUAGCCAUGCCGCGUGAGUGAUGAAGGCCUUAGGGUCGUAAAGCUCUUUCGCUGGGGAAGAUAAUGACGGUACCCAGUAAAGAAACCCCGGCUAACUCCGUGCCAGCAGCCGCGGGUAAUACGGAGGGGGUUAGCGUUGUUCGGAAUUACUGGGCGUAAAGCGCGCGUAGGCGGACUGUUAAGUCGGGGGUGAAAUCCCGGGGCGCAACCCCGGAACGGCCUUCGAUACUGGCAGUCUGGAGUUCGAGAGAGGUGAGUGGAAUUCCGAGUGUAGAGGUGAAAUUCGUAGAUAUUCGGAGGAACACCAGUGGCGAAGGCGGCUCACUGGCUCGAUACUGACGCUGAGGUGCGAAAGUGUGGGGAGCAAACAGGAUUAGAUACCCGAGUAGUC
RNAcentral lists this ribosomal RNA (440 nucleotides) under uncultured bacterium. Its description in RNAcentral is "partial 16S ribosomal RNA". It matches the Rfam family "Bacterial small subunit ribosomal RNA", at positions 339 to 795 of the family's 1533-position model. The record is from RNAcentral.